UACGUAGGGGGCAAGCGUUGUCCGGAAUCAUUGGGCGUAAAGAGCGUGUAGGCGGCCCGGUAAGUCCGCUGUGAAAGUCCAGGGCUCAACCCUGGAAUGCCGGUGGAUACUGUCGGGCUAGAGUCCGGAAGGGGCGAGUGGAAUUCCUGGUGUAGCGGUGAAAUGCGUAGAUAUCGCUUGGAACGCCAAAGGUGAAGACAGGUUGCUGGAGAUAUGCCGACACUGAGACGCGAAAGCCAGGGGAGCAAACGGG
RNAcentral lists this ribosomal RNA (253 nucleotides) under uncultured bacterium. RNAcentral's name for it is "partial 16S ribosomal RNA". It matches the Rfam family "Bacterial small subunit ribosomal RNA", at positions 524 to 776 of the family's 1533-position model. The record is from RNAcentral.